RNAcentral lists this unclassified non-coding RNA (240 nucleotides) under soil metagenome. RNAcentral's name for it is "partial contains 5.8S ribosomal RNA, internal transcribed spacer 2, and large subunit ribosomal RNA". The record is from RNAcentral.
AACUGAUACUACCUGCGGGAACCUGCGGAGGGAUCAUUAGCAGAGGAGAAAGGGGGGUGAAGGGGGGUUGGGUUGGGUUGGGUUGGGUUGAGGAAGUAGUGUGUGUAGAUUAUUUAUUUGUUUAUUUUCUACAUUUACCACACUCUACCUAUACCUACCUACCUAUCUAUUACACUCACUACAUUUACGCUUGUUGUGUUUUGACUGAUUUUUAUAGAGAUAAAAAAAAAGACAACUUUC